Long non-coding RNA from Ziziphus jujuba (common jujube), 869 nucleotides. RefSeq lists it as uncharacterized. Lineage: Eukaryota; Viridiplantae; Streptophyta; Magnoliopsida; Rosales; Rhamnaceae. The transcript has 2 exons. The record is from RefSeq and is a predicted model, not a curated record.
UAAUAUUAUAUAUUAAAGCGGAAAAGAGAAUAAUCGGGCCUUAGAUGGAAAUUGAGGAUUGUCCAGGCCUUUCGAAGGCCCAAAAACGCCGUUUUGUUUCUACGGAAGCAAGAAAAGUGAACAGGCACGAGUUCAUAUUGCAACUGACCACAACCCACGCCUCCUUCGCAAUCAUCAACAAAUUCCACAAAAUCGAAAGAGGAGAAAACAUACAGAAUUUUUUCCUUUGUUUUCCAGUAAUUUCCGAAUGAUAGUUCAUGAAUUUUUAUUUUUUUUCUUUGAUGUGGAGAAGCAAUGACAAUCACGGGGAAAACCAUGACUCUUGAGGUUGAGAGAGUUCGGGCACCAUUGACAAUGUCAAAGCUAAGAUACAAGACACGGAAGGGAUACCACCUGACCAGCAGAGGCUCAUCUUUGCUGGGAAACAGCUCGGGGAUGGAAGGACAAUAGCAGACUUCAAUAUCCAGAAAGAAUCUACACUUCAUUUGGUUCUUAGGUUGAGAGGUGGCACGCAAAUAUUUUGUAAAAACUCUUACAGGCAAGAUUAUAACUCUUGAGGUGGAGAGUUCUGACACAAUUGACAAUGCGAAGGCGAAAAUCCAAGACAAGGAAGGCAUCUACCCUCCAGUAUCCACCUGGUGCUCCACCUUCUUGGAGGUGCUGAUGUUUGAGUUUGACUAGCAUGGGUCUUAGCCUACUCUGCGUGUGUAUGGUGGUGGUGUUAAUAAUGGAGUUUUAAAGGAUUCUGAUUGAUUGUUAACGUUUUGAUUUGGUAAUGCUCUUUAUAUGUUUGUGUUUGGAACUAUUGAAUAUUAGAACAAUAUGAACUAAAUAAAUCAAAGACAAUUUUUCAGUUGCUGUUUUAUAUA